GCUAGGUGAAAUAGAGAAGUUGCCAGAGGACUUCUGGGAAAAAACAUUUGAAAAGGAAGGACUGAAAAGAGAAGAAAUGGGCACAACGGGGACUCCGGGUCUGGCCAUAACAGCCAGGAGAAACAAGGGCUUAAGCCAGGAGGUCUGAAAAGAGAACAGAAGGUAGACCACCUAGAAUGGGGACAAGGCACUUCCACUCUGCAAAGGUGAGUGUGCUUGCAGUGCAAAGCAAGAAACGUGAACUUUAAAAUUCUUCAGGCACAUGUGUUCAAAAGGCAAAGAUACAUGAGAAUGCAAGAUGAAAAACUCCAGCGCAAGAUCAGGCUUUUUAAACUGCCACAGCUCCCCUGUCUCCCCAGCUAGCUUCUAUUCGCCUUCCCAGGCUCCUAAGCCCAGUGACAGGAGAGACUCUGGAAUGAUCAGAGAUUCUGGAAUGAAAAGAGCUAUGCCCACUGCUUAGGAGGCCAAGGAUUCUGCAAACUGAUCCCCGCAGAUACCACAGCGCUUUACUCUGGUCUCCAAGGCCAUGGCACACCCUAAAAGAUUAAAAUGCCUUAAGGUAAAUGACCAUUCCCAGAUGAAGGCACAGAAU
Molecule: long non-coding RNA, 592 nt
Filed under: Homo sapiens (human)
Lineage: Eukaryota; Metazoa; Chordata; Mammalia; Primates; Hominidae
Description: HSALNT0133558
Source: RNAcentral